RNAcentral lists this ribosomal RNA (470 nucleotides) under uncultured bacterium. RNAcentral's name for it is "partial 16S ribosomal RNA". It matches the Rfam family "Bacterial small subunit ribosomal RNA", at positions 355 to 816 of the family's 1533-position model. The record is from RNAcentral.
UGGGCAAUUUUGGACAAUGGGCGCAAGCCUGAUCCAGCCAUGCCGCGUGCGGGAAGAAGGCCUUCGGGUUGUAAACCGCUUUUGUCAGGGAAGAAAUCUUCUGAGUUAAUACCUCGGGAGGAUGACGGUACCUGAAGAAUAAGCACCGGCUAACUACGUGCCAGCAGCCGCGGUAAAUACGUAGGGGUGCAAGCGUUAAUCGGAAUACUGGGCGUAAAGCGUGCGCAGGCGGUUUUGUAAGACAGAGGUGAAAUCCCCGGGCUCAACCUGGGAACUGCCUUUGUGACUGCAAGGCUUGAGUGCGGCAGAGGGGGAUGGAAUUCCGCGUGUAGCAGUGAAAUGCGUAGAUAUGCGGAGGAACACCGAUGGCGAAGGCAAUCCCCUGGGCCUGCACUGACGCUCAUGCACGAAAGCGUGGGGAGCAAACAGGAUUAGAUACCCUGGUAGUCCACGCCCUAAACGAUGUCAAC